Molecule: transfer RNA, 72 nt
Filed under: Phrynosoma platyrhinos (Desert horned lizard)
Lineage: Eukaryota; Metazoa; Chordata; Lepidosauria; Squamata; Phrynosomatidae
Description: tRNA-OTHER
Source: RNAcentral
GCCAAUGUGGCAUAGUGGUUUGAGUGUUGGCCUACAGUUCUGGAGACCAGGGUUCAAUUUCCAGCUUGGCCA